AUGCUCUGCCCUGGCCUGCUGUGGGCAUUCCUGGCCUCCUUUGGCUUCAGAUCCAGCAUGGCUCAGAAAGUAACCCAAACUCAGACCAUAAUGACAAGGAGGGAAGGAGAAGCUGUGACCAUGGACUGCACGUACGAAAUCAGUUGGAGCAGUUACUAUGAUUUGCACUGGUACAAACAGCCUCCCAGCGGAGAGAUGGUUUUCCUGAUUUAUCAGGAUUAUUACCAAUCAAGUGCAAAGCAGGAUCGCUUCUCUGUGAACUUUCAAAAGGCAAAAAAUUUCAUCAGCCUCACCAUCUCUUCCUUACAACUGAAAGACUCAGCGAUGUACUUCUGUGCUCUCCGGGAUCCCACAGUAAUAAAAACGACGGUGGAAGAUAAUCAAAAACCUUAGAGCUCCAUAGAGGCAGCCACC
Non-coding RNA from Ceratotherium simum simum (southern white rhinoceros), 414 nucleotides. NCBI's taxonomy places the organism in Eukaryota, Metazoa, Chordata, Mammalia, Perissodactyla, Rhinocerotidae. The record is from the annotation of a RefSeq genome assembly.